This 427-nucleotide ribosomal RNA is filed under the name uncultured Providencia sp. RNAcentral's name for it is "bacterial SSU rRNA". It matches the Rfam family "Bacterial small subunit ribosomal RNA", at positions 355 to 774 of the family's 1533-position model. Lineage: Bacteria; Pseudomonadati; Pseudomonadota; Gammaproteobacteria; Enterobacterales; Morganellaceae. The record is from RNAcentral.
UGGGGAAUAUUGCACAAUGGGCGCAAGCCUGAUGCAGCCAUGCCGCGUGUAUGAAGAAGGCCCUAGGGUUGUAAAGUACUUUCAGUCGGGAGGAAGGCGUUGAUGCUAAUAUCAUCAACGAUUGACGUUACCGACAGAAGAAGCACCGGCUAACUCCGUGCCAGCAGCCGCGGUAAUACGGAGGGUGCAAGCGUUAAUCGGAAUUACUGGGCGUAAAGCGCACGCAGGCGGUUGAUUAAGUUAGAUGUGAAAUCCCCGGGCUUAACCUGGAAUGGCAUCUAAGACUGGUCAGCUAGAGUCUUGUAGAGGGGGUGAGAAUUCCAUGUGUAGCGGUGAAAUUGCGUAGAGAUGUGGAGGAAUACCGGUGGCGAAGGCGGCCCCCUGCAGCAAAGACUGACGCUCAGGUGCGAAAGCGUGGGAGCAAACA